AGAGAGAGAGAGAGAGAGAGGGACCGACCAAAGAAGCGCUCUCUUCAAUCACUGUCGAAGAAGCAUCUCUUUUUCCUUCUUCUUUUGCUCUCUCUCUCUCUAUCAGGUUCCGUUGUUAUAAUCUCUCUCGCCCUUUGAAAUCGGCUUCUCCGAGAGAGAGAGAGAGAGAGGCAAGGUUACCUUCCAUGGACAUGUAUGCUCGCAAUCCCAUCAAUGGCUCACAAUCUGCUCAAGCUCCUCCAGACUGGAGCCCUGCUGAUGCCGAUUCCGGUCUCGAAGAGUCGAUGUGGCGAUUAGGGUUGGGUAGCAGCGAGACGUACCCGGAGAGACUUGGUGCCCCUGACUGUGCCUACUACAUGCGCAC
Non-coding RNA from Camelina sativa (false flax), 364 nucleotides. Lineage: Eukaryota; Viridiplantae; Streptophyta; Magnoliopsida; Brassicales; Brassicaceae. The record is from RefSeq and is a predicted model, not a curated record.